CUUUGUAAGAGAGAGCUUGAGACUGCGGCACACCUGCUAUUCAUGUGUAGGUUCUCCCUCAGGGUAUGGCACCAGAUUAAACUUUGGCUGGGUAUGCACGAGCUGGAGAUCGAUGCUUGGCCCGGUUUGCUAUCCGUCGACGAGUGGUGGGAGAGGACGGUUCUACGCACGGACCAUAGUCGUAAGGCGAUGGCCUUACUAUUGUUGUUGGUGGUCUGGGAGAUUUGGAGAGAAAGGAACAAGAGGGUUUUCCAAGGCAAGUCGGCCAUGCCCAAUGGGGUGGUCGCCUCGAUAAAAUGUGAAGCGAGAAAUUGGGUUCUUGCGGGGGCAAAAAAAUUGAGCACGAUCAUGCCGUGA
Molecule: ribosomal RNA, 357 nt
Filed under: Triticum aestivum (bread wheat)
Lineage: Eukaryota; Viridiplantae; Streptophyta; Magnoliopsida; Poales; Poaceae
Description: partial small subunit ribosomal RNA
Source: RNAcentral